GAAGAAGAAGGCUAUGGCGGAACUCCCACAGAGGCCAGCAGGUGGAUGAGGAGAGACCCGAGGCGGCCGCCGGUCUGAGUGUCAGGUGAACUGAACUUCAGGACAGUUAGCAUGCAGUCUGGAGCAGCCAGGGAUCGACCCAAAAACCAUCUGAUUAGUAGAUGACCUGCUCCACCUCCUGAGCCACAGCCGCCCCUUUUAGAGGUAAAGAAUCAAUUAGAAAGAGCUGGCGUCAUGUUGUGGAAGCUGCCAUCUUGCCCCCACCAUCAUACGCUGGCUGAGAUGGGCAUCGCUGCUCCGCCUUUUCAUGUUUUAUGCAUUACGCUGACGGACGGAUGGAUGGACAAUGAAUGCUUUCUCGUCCUUCUUGUCAUGCACCAUGGAAGUGUCUGAGGGGCUUUUCCACUUGGAAUCGGGAUACUGUGUCCACACUUCAGAGGUGGAGUUUCCAGCAUCUCACCUGGGCCUCAUCUGCAAACAAUCAGCAGGAGGGCUUCUUAAACCAGCGCUGCCUGCUACUCCUCGCCAGUUUGUUCUGCCAUCUCCAGUGCUUCUCCAGUGGGACUGAAGCCAUCCAUCCCACCAGCCAGCGGCCCUUCGGGUGAGAGGAAGGGCCCCGUCGUCAUGGCGCCUGUCAACGUGGAGCCAGCCGGGCGAGUUUGUCCUAGAAAGCUUAUUUGCCAUCUUCACCUUGCUCUCUGAACGCAAGAGCUGUAUCAUCAUGGCUGAACCACUGGAGAAGCCGCUAAACAAAUCUCUGCAGAGGAGAAGAGCCACAGUUUGACCAGCUGAUCAGCUCUAUGAGUUCUCUUGCUGGGUACUGCCUGCCAUCCAUCCUGAAGACUCUGUUCGACUGGUACAAGAGGCAAAAUGGCCUGGAGGACGAGUCCCAUGAACAUCGACCCGGGGCCAAGUCAAAAAAGAGUCUCUGUUCUCCUCCUGACCUACCUGACUCUGGAGUAGUUCCUCGUCAUCGUUUUCCCUUUUAGCAAUUUGCGCCCAGGCAAACUUCAGACAGGGGUAAGUUGCACUAGUCAUAAUAAUGUGCCUGAUGAAGGUCAUCCAACUGUUGUCUUUGUCCACAAACUAAUUAUCGCUCUUAUUUUGAAGAAAGACUGGGUUUGUGCUGCUGGAAUAUCAUCUUUAGGUUGGUGUUUAAGUGGAUCAGAAAGUGUGGAACAACCUUUAAGACUUCAGUGAGAGAAUUUGUUUUUAAAGCACAAAUAAAAACAACACAUGUUCAAGUUACAUCAACCCAACAAAACCCUCCUCUGGCAUUAACAUCAGCACACAAACUGUUAGCUGCGAGCUUCAUGCCUCCAGUAGGUGUAAAGUGCGGGUGGCUCAUUUUAGUCCACUAGUAAUCUUAGCUGUAAGGGAAAACAGUUUGUGUGGAGAACAAAAGAGUGAUAUCCUUUGUUCUAUUGGUAUGAUAUGAGGUAUAAAGUAACCCCUGAAUAUCACCAGAAGUCCCCAAAAUACUGACCAUUUCCAGAUUUGCAAAUUGCAAAUCCAAACAAUGCAAAAUUGUUCAUUAUCACAAAAUAUACAAAGUGUAAAGUACAAAAACUACGCAGUACAAAUCUGUGAAGCAGAACUGUCGGCUUGCACACUUUUCCUCAGUUCAAAACCGCUUAAAUACUGUUUAAUACUGUAUGAACUGCAUAACGCUGUUUGAUAGUCCCAGCCAGCAUGAAAAGCAUCUCUUUAGGUCUGAACCUGGUGGCUUUCCUGGUGAUUGUAUUCUCCUACUGCAGUAUGUUCUGCUCCAUCUUUAAAACCGGCAUCACUGCCACUGACCUGAGGAGCAGACUGCACAGAGAUGUAGCUAUGGCCAGCAGGUUUUUCUUCAUAGUGUUCUCUGAUGCCCUCUGCUGGAUUCCUAUAUUUUUGGUGAAAGUCCUCCCGCUGCUGGAGGUGCAGAUACCUGGUAAGAAGUGAAACAGCUGCCUUAUAGUAUCUUAGAGGUUUUACAUGGAUUUUUAAUAUAGGUCACUGUGUUACUUUAUAGAAUAGUUUGCUGAAAAGCAUCAACACAGUUCAAUUUCUCUAAAUGUCAGUCGCUUGUGAAAUGUUUCCUUCCUCGGGAUACUAUCUCCAGCUGGGUUGUCAUCUUCAUCCUCCCCAUCAGCAGUGCCUUCAACCCCAUCCUGCUCACCUUGACCACCAGAGAGCAGGUGGAAGUUUUACUCUGUCACUGGCAGAGGAAACACACAUUAAAGAAAGACGGCAAAAGCCUUACCUCGUCCAGAUCUUUAUGGAGACGUCACAGGGUCUGUGCUACAGCCACCCGUUUACCUCCAGCAGGUGUCACUUAUAAGCACAGAACCUCGCUAUGCCUGAUGAUGUAUUUGUAGAGAAACAGCAUUUUGUAAGCUACUUUUUAUGGUUUUACUCCAUCUUUAAGAACAAAGUGUGCUUCAACAAGACUUCAACAGACUUUUGCUUGUAAAUAAUUAGCAGUCACUGUGCCGUCUCAUCGCCCUCUGACAUUUAUAAAAUGUGAUGACAACCCCAGAAACAAACACCAACCACCCUCAGCAGAUGACUGUCUCAUCAUGCCGUUCAAGCUACGCGUUGACUUUAUAUUUGCAGUGAAAUUUGAAAUGAAACCAUUUCCAUUUAUUCACUUACCUUCUUCAUAAGGUGAUACAGGUACAUCCUGGAGAGUCAUGUAGAGGCAGACAUCCACCAAUGUUCACAUUCACACUCACAUCCAGGGUAGAAUCACCAAAUAUCCUAAAAUGAAUAUAUUUGGACACAAAUAGUGGUUUUACAGCUUUUUUUCAUCCCUGGCUUAAAAUUCUUUAAGUCUAUCAAGAAAAGUGUUUAGAUGACUCUUGUAAAAUGCACACAUAGAUCCUAACCCGUCACUGUGGUGAACUUUGUAUGAAGUUUAGAAGCUGUGGGACAAACAUAGAGGGACUGGCAAAUACCAGUGACACAAUAUUAAUGGAUCACAUAUUUUUAUAUACAGAUAAGCUUUCCAAUUCAUCUCUCCCCACCUACUGGUUUCUUUGUCUUCUUGCCCUGCAAUUCCUCCAUCCUCAUCACUUUUUGGGUGUCUGUUUAACUUUCCCCAUUAUUCUUGCUUUCAUGUCAUAUUCUUCCAUUUACAUGUAUCUGCUUUGACUGGACUAAUGUUGAAACUGAACCAACAUGCUGCAGAGUCUUUGUGCUAUAGUCAUGCUGUUUAAGAGAACUGCUCUGAACUCCUCAUUUGACUGACUGCAACUGGAUGAAAGCAUUUUGUACACGCAUGUCAUGUUACAUGUAAUUAACUAACUGACCAAUGAGGAGACUGAAUUGUGACACUCUGAACAUCUGCGCACGAGACGUUGCAGCUGGACUUUUGCAGCUUUCUUUCAUGUUUUGAUGACUCUGAUUUUUUCUAUACCAGUGCACCAAUGUACCUUUACACAGCUGCUUUAACUUAGUGACAAUCAUUAAAGGUGGAGGAGUUUACACACUGAGGACAUGAAAAAGGAAAGCUGCACAGAUAAAUAAAAAUGGAAGCAAUGGAAUCCCAACAAGGCCCUUUUUUCCUGUUAUGCUGUUUUGAUGUGCAUAUGUUUACGUUUAGUGUAUAAAAUUCGGCACGGAUCCUCUCGGUGUGAGUUGUGUGCUUUUGAUUGUGUUUGU
Pelmatolapia mariae (spotted tilapia) is the source of this 3642-nucleotide long non-coding RNA. RefSeq lists it as uncharacterized. The transcript is spliced from 8 exons. The record is from RefSeq and is a predicted model, not a curated record. Lineage: Eukaryota; Metazoa; Chordata; Actinopteri; Cichliformes; Cichlidae.